RNAcentral lists this ribosomal RNA (502 nucleotides) under uncultured Gemmatimonadota bacterium. RNAcentral's name for it is "bacterial SSU rRNA". It matches the Rfam family "Bacterial small subunit ribosomal RNA", at positions 9 to 524 of the family's 1533-position model. Lineage: Bacteria; Pseudomonadati; Gemmatimonadota. The record is from RNAcentral.
GAGUUUGAUCGUGGCUCAGGACGAACGCUGGCGGCGUGCUUAACACAUGCAAGUCACGGGGGCCCGCAAGGGCAACCGGCGAACGGGUGCGUAACACGUGAGCAAGCUUCCGAUUUGUGGGGGAUAGCCGGCCUAACGGCCGGGUAAUACCGCAUACGUUCACUGGGCGGCAUCGUCUGGUGAGGAAACCUCCGGGGCAAAUCGAGGCGCUCGCGGCCUAUCAGCUAGUUGGCGGGGUAAUGGCCCACCAAGGCGACGACGGGUAGCUGGUCUGAGAGGAUGGCCAGCCACAUUGGGACUGCGACACGGCCCAGACUCCUACGGGAGGCAGCAGUGGGGAAUAUUGCGCAAUGGACGAAAGUCUGACGCAGCGACGCCGCGUGUGGGAUGAAGCUCUUCGGGGUGUAAACCACUGUUGCCCGGGACGAAAUGCCCUUUCGAGGGAAUUGACGGUACCGGGUGAGGAAGCACCGGCUAACUCUGUGCCAGCAGCCGCCGUAAC